Molecule: ribosomal RNA, 863 nt
Filed under: Staphylococcus aureus
Lineage: Bacteria; Bacillati; Bacillota; Bacilli; Caryophanales; Staphylococcaceae
Description: partial 23S ribosomal RNA
Rfam family: Bacterial large subunit ribosomal RNA
Source: RNAcentral
CCAAUUAAUUUAACUUGGGAGUCAGAACAUGGGUGAUAAGGUCCGUGUUCGAAAGGGAAACAGCCCAGACCACCAGCUAAGGUCCCAAAAUAUAUGUUAAGUGGAAAAGGAUGUGGCGUUGCCCAGACAACUAGGAUGUUGGCUUAGAAGCAGCCAUCAUUUAAAGAGUGCGUAAUAGCUCACUAGUCGAGUGACACUGCGCCGAAAAUGUACCGGGGCUAAACAUAUUACCGAAGCUGUGGAUUGUCCUUUGGACAAUGGUAGGAGAGCGUUCUAAGGGCGUUGAAGCAUGAUCGUAAGGACAUGUGGAGCGCUUAGAAGUGAGAAUGCCGGUGUGAGUAGCGAAAGACGGGUGAGAAUCCCGUCCACCGAUUGACUAAGGUUUCCAGAGGAAGGCUCGUCCGCUCUGGGUUAGUCGGGUCCUAAGCUGAGGCCGACAGGCGUAGGCGAUGGAUAACAGGUUGAUAUUCCUGUACCACCUAUAAUCGUUUUAAUCGAUGGGGGGACGCAGUAGGAUAGGCGAAGCGUGCGAUUGGAUUGCACGUCUAAGCAGUAAGGCUGAGUAUUAGGCAAAUCCGGUACUCGUUAAGGCUGAGCUGUGAUGGGGAGAAGACAUUGUGUCUUCGAGUCGUUGAUUUCACACUGCCGAGAAAAGCCUCUAGAUAGAAAAUAGGUGCCCGUACCGCAAACCGACACAGGUAGUCAAGAUGAGAAUUCUAAGGUGAGCGAGCGAACUCUCGUUAAGGAACUCGGCAAAAUGACCCCGUAACUUCGGGAGAAGGGGUGCUCUUUAGGGUUAACGCCCAGAAGAGCCGCAGUGAAUAGGCCCAAGCGACUGUUUAUCAAAAACACAGGUCUCUGCU